RNAcentral lists this ribosomal RNA (845 nucleotides) under uncultured bacterium. RNAcentral describes it as "bacterial SSU rRNA". It matches the Rfam family "Bacterial small subunit ribosomal RNA", at positions 28 to 896 of the family's 1533-position model. The record is from RNAcentral.
GAUGAACGCUGGCGGCGUGCUUAAUACAUGCAAGUCGAACGGAGAGUAGUAAUAUUCUUAGUGGCGAACGGGUGAGUAACGCGUUGGUGACCUGCCCCGAAGUGGGGGAUAACAGCUCGAAAGGGCUGCUAAUACCCCAUGUGAUUACAGGCGUUGGAGAACUGUAAUGAAAGCAAUAAUGCGCUUUGGGAGGGGACUGCGUCCCAUCAGCUAGUUGGUAAGGUAAAGGCUUACCAAGGCGACGACGGGUAGGGGACCUGAGAGGGUGACCCCCCACACUGGCACUGAAACACGGGCCAGACACUACGGGUGGCAGCAGUAGGGAAUAUUGCACAAUGGGCGAAAGCCUGAUGCAGCAACGCCGCGUGCCCGAUGAAGGCCUUCGGGUCGUAAAGGCCUUUUCUGGAGGACGAGGAAGGACAGUACUCCAGGAAGAAGGAUCGGCUAACUACGUGCCAGCAGUCGCGGUAAAACGUAGGAUCCGAGCGUUAUCCGAAUUCACUGGGCGUAAAGCGCGUGCAGGCGGCUGGAAAAGUUGGAUGUGAAAUCUCCUGGCUUAACUGGGAGAGGUCGUUCAAGACUAUCCGGCUAGAGGACGGUAGAGGAAGGUGGAAUUCCCGGUGUAGUGGUGAAAUGCGUAGAUAUCGGGAGGAACACCAGUGGCGAAGGCGGCCUUCUGGGCCGAUCCUGACGCUCAGACGCGAAAGCUAGGGGAGCAAACGGGAUUAGAAACCCCGGUAGUCCUAGCCGUAAACGAUGUAGACUGGGUGUCGGCGGAGUAAAAUCUGUCGGUGCCGAAGCCAACGCGAUAAGUCUACCGCCUGGGGACUACGGCCGCAAGGUUA